This 395-nucleotide long non-coding RNA is filed under the name Arabidopsis lyrata. Its description in RNAcentral is "long non-coding RNA (ALYR_LNC002589)". The record is from RNAcentral. Lineage: Eukaryota; Viridiplantae; Streptophyta; Magnoliopsida; Brassicales; Brassicaceae.
AUGCGCAUUUGUUGUGAUCGAUACUGUUAAGAAACAGAGGCCUAAAGAUGACUUCUUUUCGGCUUGAAUCAACAACACACCAAGGUCUUAAGUGUAUAAGAGAUUGAGUGUUCUCAAAAUGCUUACUUUGAUGAGUAAAGAACCAAGUAGUCUGUUAAAACAGAGUUUAAGAACAGAGCACACAAGAACUUUGUUAACCCAGUUCACACCAACGGUGCUACGUCUGGGCCGGGAACUGUCUCCCGGAAUCCACUAUAUCAAUGAGUUUUACAAGAGAUCUCUCAUCCCAAAGCCCUUUACAAAGCUCUCUCGGUUAUCUCUCUUUCACUCAACUGUUUCCCCAAGAACUCUCAUACAAGUAGUUUAUGCUAUGAAUGAAGUUCUCUCUGUUUCUG